Homo sapiens (human) is the source of this 8443-nucleotide long non-coding RNA. RefSeq lists it as uncharacterized. The record is from RefSeq and is a predicted model, not a curated record. NCBI's taxonomy places the organism in Eukaryota, Metazoa, Chordata, Mammalia, Primates, Hominidae. The transcript has 5 exons.
AGAUGAGCUGACAGACCCUGGCUGAGCAGGAAGUGGCAGGGUCAGGAAAAGCUAGGCCACAAGUUUUCCCUUGAGAGCCUUAGAGACUGCAUCUCACCAUGUUGCUCAGGCUGUUCUCGAACUCCUGGGCUCAAGCAAUCCUCCUACCUCAGCCUCUCAAAGUGUUGGGAUUAUAGAUGUGAGCCACUGUACCCGGCCCUGGUUGCAUUCUUCAUUAUUAGGAACAUAAGAGUCUAGCCCUGUCGCCCAGGCUGGAGUGCCAUGGUUUGAACUCUACUCACCGCAACCUCCACCUCCCAGGUUCAAAUGAUUCUCCUGCCUCAGCCUCCUGAAUAUCUGGGAUUACAGUAAUUAGCAAGAAACUUCUACAAAAGUUACAAUGCCAAUUACUGGAAACGCGCAUAUCAGGAGUUCCAUGGAGGACCAUUUCCAAGCAGUAGACAUCAUGCAUCAAUCUGCUUUUUGAAAUCCAGACUGAUUUUCCAAAUCAUUUUUAAAUAAGAGGCCUCAAGCCGUAUGUAAGAAACAAGAAAAUUUGUGCCUUAAGAGCAACUAUCAACUUAAAUCAAAGAGGGGUAAGAGGUAAGCUCAGGGGAUAGAGAAGAUUAACCUAACAACAAAUAGCCUUUGCUUACUUCUGAGAUACCUAGCAAAUGCUGCCUUUUUGAAUUUUGUGCAAUUAGUUUAGUACUUCAAUUACCUAGAUAUUUUUAAGUUAAACAAGCUCUUGAGUGAUUUUUUCAUCAAUUUACAUUGAGUUAUAACAAAUGUAGGAAUAUUUGUAUUUAAAAUGCACAAGAAAAUGCAAAACAUAUCUCUAAUUUGACCACUAAAAGGCCAGUUUCUGAUGAUAACUUUUUGCCAUAUCUUAUUAACUGUAAUGUAUCUUUAAGGAUGACACAUGGAAUAGUUCCAAUGUAUAACAGAAAGGAAAUCUGAUAUUAUACUUAAGUGCAUUCUGUACUCUGUGGGGAAAGAUGCAGAAUAUAUUACAAAGAACAAUGAAGACAUGUUUCAAAAGUAAGCAUUAAUUUAUUCAUUCAUUCAUUUAUUCCCUCACACUCUUAUUCAACAAACAUUUAUUGAAAAUCCUCCCAUGCGCAAGGUGGGUGUUCUAUCUAAAUUCUAUGAAGAACAAGACAGACAAGGUCCGUCUUCUCACAGAGCUUACAUUUUAGUGAGGUAAAGUUGUCAAUAAGUAUGCAAAUUAAAAAAAUGACAGGCUCAACUAAUGCCUCCAAAAGCAACUAUUUUUAAAGCAAAAUCUGAUUGUGUUCAAGUCUAGCAAAGAGUCACAAAAAUAUAUUUUUAGAAAUGAAGAUUGUUGACAUGGUAAGGUUAUUCAUUCUUUCUAUUUUUAUAAAUAAAUCAAUUAACCCUAUUUUAUUUUAAAAAGUCAUGCAAGGUCAAAAACGUUGGGAUGAUUGGUAUUAAACUCUGGUGGAAGAAGCUCCCUGAAUGCCUCCCUGACAUCAGUCAUACAGGUCAGGAAGCAAACACCUUUCCUCUUGUUUCCUAACUGCCCUUUUUACCCAUUUCAUAGCACACACUUACUCCGGUCACCAAACUGGUUACCAUCCUCCUGUGUUCUGUUUUUGUAAGAGGGCAUUUAUUUGGCCCUAGUUACCCAAGAAAAGGCAAUUAGUCUUGACAACUGCUGCAAAGAGAAAAGACGAGAUGAUGGAAACAUUCAACACUUAAAAAUCCUUAGAUUUCAAGCAUUGGGGUUUCUGCCCCUAUAGAUUUCUGGGAGUUUGGGACAAUUAAAAUAUAUCUUUUAUUUUUUUAAAAAAAUAUAUAUAAAUGAAUGCUAAAACAACUCUUAAAAGGAAAUUGCUUUAUAUAGUCUGGCUAUGAUCAGCAAAACUGGUAUUCAUAUUUACAUUUGUUUAUUAUAUCAGUGAGGUUUGAGAAUCAUUUAAAAGAAUUGUGUUCUAAUUCAACCUAAAUUCCCUUCCUGUUAAUCUGAGCCAAAUGUCCCAAACACAGACAUGGCAGUUUUUAAAUCUCUGAAAACUAUUUAAAAACUAAUAUUAAAAAUAUAGUUUUAAAAUAUAUUGCAUAUACCUGUAUACUUAGGUAUGAAGAAAUUUCCUCUUCCUUCAUGGUAAUUAGCAAGAAACUUCUAUAAAAGUUACAAUGCCAAUUAUUAGAAACAUGCAUAUCAGGUGUCCCACGUAGGACUAUUUCCAAGCAGUAGAGAUUAUGCAUCAAUCUGCUUUUUGAAAUCCAGACUGAUUUUCCAAAACACUUUUAAAUAAGAGGCCUCAAGCCAUAUAUAAGAAACAAGAAAAGUUGUGUAUAUUUGUAUACAGGUAUAUACGAGUGCCCGUAUAUGCAAGCUGAGGUGGAGAAAUUGAAGACACAGAUUAUGUAAGCCAUUAACUCUUUAGGGGAGCAAGCUCUGAUGUUCCCACUUGAAGACGGGAGAGGGGAGUCCUCUCAUGCUUGCGUCUCACUGUAACUUUUAUGCUUUUGUCUGUGGGUGUGUUUGUUCAGUGCUUAGACUGAACAACAGUGACCUCUUUGAAACAAGAGGAUAUACAGUUCACGUGCCACAUAAUGACUUUCAGUCAAUGACAGACUGCAUAUAUAAAAAGCACAUUCUAAUAGGACCUUUGAUAAUCGUUUUGUCUUCUUGACUAUCAUCUUCUCUAGGAGAAAGUCUUCCCUGAUACUCUGCCCCCUGCCUCCACACAUACACAUACACAAACACUCAGAUAUAUCUCUACCACACAUACUCCUGGCUAGGCUAAGUGCACCCUUUUCUUUUUCUUUUUCUUUUUCUUUUUCUUUUUCUGAGACAAGGCCUUGCUCUGUUGCCUAGUCUGGAGUGAAGUGGCCUGAUCAUAGCUUACUGCAGCCUCCAACUUCUGGGCUCAGGCGAUCCUCCCACCUCAAUUUCCCAAGUAAUUGGGACUACAGGCAUGCACAAACAUGGCUGGCUAAUUAUUUUUAUUAUUAUUAUAAGUAGAGAUGGGGUCUCACUAUGGUGCCCAGGUCGAUCUCAAAGUCCUGGGCUCAAGCAACCCUCAUGCCUUGGCCUCUCAAAGUGCUAGGAUUACAGGCAUGAGCUAUCAUGUCCAGCCUAGCUACCCCUUUUCUAUACUUUCCUAGCAUCAUGUGUGGGUCUUUCUCAUACUAUCUACAGCACACUGUGAUUGUGUAUUUACCCAUAUUUCUCCCAAAUGACUAUAAACACCUCAAGGGAAAGGAUUAUAGCUUAUUCAUAUUUGAAUCCUUAGUAUUUAUGACAAUGCUUGGCUCAUAAUAAGCUCUCAAGAGAUAUUCAUUCCAUUGAAUUGAAAUGACUUCCACUUGGGUUUCACAGUAGAAUACUCAUUACUCAUCAGACUUACUCAGGGGACAAGUCUCUGGCCUCAUUUUCAUUUGCAUCUUGGCCAUGAUUUUGCCUACUGUCAAUCACCAUGAAGUACAGAAAAGCAAACUGAGCUAUGGUGAGCCAAAUUAACUGGACCUAAGAUGACCUCAUCAGCAAAGCGCCCUAAGCAAUCAAGCAAUCGGGUCAGCUAGUUGCAGCCUAUAGUUAUCGUGGAAAACUGGUUGCUACUUUGAUCUCAGCUCACCUUGCCAAAUACUCCUUUUGUUUGAAAGAUAGUCAUAACAAGUACAAAACAACACUGAGUGAAUAUUUUUAAUAUUAUAAGCACCUAGAUAAAUUUAAUUUCUAUUUCCAUUAAUGAUCUGAAUAACCUAAAUUCUUCUAAUACCUAUAUUUGUCCAAUUUUAAGGUAUUCUGACUUAGGCAGAAAUUGGGCAAUUAUCUGAUUAAUUCAGGCCAAUAUUUUUAACACUGGAUUUCUGCAUCACAAGAAUUGUUAAUUUAUUCUUAUAUCCUCAUUCCUGGUACACAAUGGGUGCUCAGAAGUAGCUAGGAUUUACUGAGAGCUUACUAUAUGCUAAACUGUACAACAAUGUGUUAUCUUACAUUAAGUCUCACAAAAAUUAAAACUCUCAAAAAACUUCGCACUAAUUGUUUGAGAUAGAUGAGAUUACAAUCUGAGUCUUAAGAAGGUUAAGUAACCCACCCAAGGUCGAAUUAAGAACUUGAGCUAUCUUUUUAAUCACUACUCUAUAUAGACAUUUGUUGAAUAAAUGGUCAGAUGCAUUUUGAUCAAGCCUAUGCUUAUUUGAAAUAUCACAUGCUUUUUUGAACUUUAUAGAUAUAUAUUAACCAUUUGGAAAAAUGUAAGAACAAAAUCUCAUGGAAAAUGUAAAUUUCAAUCUUGCAAACUAAACAUUCGAUUUAUACACUUUCAGGAUUUACUCUGUUGUGUGAAUAUGCGUACUUUAGAAUAAAACUGGUAUCAUACUAUACAAUGAAUAUCAAGUUUUAAUUCAAUAAUGUUUAAUGAAUAAUUCCCUAUGUCAUUAAUAAUCCUCUUAUGAGUAUUAUUUUAAAAGAUACAUUAUUUUACUUCAAGAAAAUUUUAUGAUUUGUAUAAUAGAACUAUAGCUUUUGGACAUUUUGGCUACUUAUAACUUUUAGUGCUUUGAUAAUAUCAUUACAAACAUCAUUACACAUAUAUUUUAUAAUUUUUAAGAAACAAAUAUGUUCUUAAAUUUGUUUUUUAAGGAAAAUUAUUAUUGGUUGAAUGAUUACAUCAAAGGGAAAUGGAUUAUUUUCAUAUGUAAUUUCAUGCUACCUCCAACAAAGGUUUUAUCCUGAUUAUAUUGUAGACCUGAAUUCAUUUAAAUUUAUGCUGAUUUUUUUAACUUUAGAGACAUAUUGCUCAUAUUCAAGUACAUUUUAAUUCAUGUUAUAAGUAUAUGACAACAUAAACAUGUUUUGACAUCCUCUACUGAAUAUAUUCUUUUUACACCACUAAGCAUUUUUAAAAUUUAGUUUUUUAUAAAAAGGACAGAUAGGCAGGCAGGCAGAGAGAGACAGAGACAGAGAUGACAAGCAUAAACAAGGAAUUGUAGCUGUGGUCUAACAGAUUACACAUUUUUAAGCACCUAAAUUUAGAAAAUUAGGUGGUAUACUUUAUUAUUGAUCAUUUGGGGUCAAACUAGCUAAUCUGGCAACUUAAUUUUCCUAGGGAUUUAUUUGAUGUAAAAAUAUGGUCUGAUCGUUCUUCAGUGGUUCUUUCCUUUUAGGAGUCUUGCUCAUGAGAACCUGUCUUAAAACUUUUACUGCUUGAAAUAUGUAGAAAGUCCAAGGGUAAAGGAGAGUGGAAUUUGUUGUUGUUUACUAUGAAGAAUUAUCAUUGAGUCAGUUCACCUUUGGCUGGCAUCUGGGGAAAGUUUGCCUGCACGACAUGAUUAACAGCUAAAAUAUUCUUACGGCCUUUAUCUCAGCAGUCUAGAAGGUUCGAAUGAAAAGAACAUUAUCCAUAGAGGAAGUAGGAGGUAAACAUUCCUAACAAAAAUGGACACUCAAUAAAUACAUGUUAAAUAAAAGAAUAAACAAAUACGUUCAAGUCGAUUCUAGUUGUGCAGUGGUAACCCUUGUCGUAUUGGAACAGUAAUGCACAUGGACCAUGAGUCCUUGUAUUCUUCUUGAGCCAGCUUGGUGAACUUGGUCAAACCACUGACACUCAAUUGCUUCACUGGUAAAACAAAGCCAAUAGCAUCCGCUAUACUUAUCCAUUAGAUUUUUUAUCCAUUAGAUUUUUUAAUAUAUAUGAAUACAAUUUAUGAAAGUACUGUAUACUAUGUACUUAGUAUAUACUUAAUUAGUAUGAAAAUAAAGUAAAAAUACCAUAGAAAAUUAGAGGUUUAUGAAUUGCUAAUACAUGAGAUAUUUACUAGGGUGUAUAUUUACUAUGUCUUCUAAAAGUAUAAGUUUGGUAAGCAGAAAUCUCUUAGGGUUUAGCAUUUCUUUAACUGAUAGCAAAAAUUUUGAAUGUUAACUAUUUAAGUGUAUCUACAGUGACUUUCCUUUUCUUCAUGAUAUUGCCUUGUUUAUCCCUUUGAUUUAUCCUCAUGUCCCACUGAAGCAAGCUAUGCACCUUAAUGCCAUCUUGUUUAUGGGGACUAAUAAAAGAAAAUUGUCUGCAAUGGGAGAUCUGCUUUAUUUACAUGCAAAUUAAAACUAUAUUCCUUCGGUUACAGGCCAAAGAUUAUUAAUGCAUGAUGUGUAACAAUUUCAGGCAAAGGUAAAAAUGCUGUUCCUUCCUAUAAUCUAAUGCAACUGAUUUCAUUUUUGUAAAAUGGUGCAACAAAUUGAGCCAUGGCAUUUAUAGUAUCUUACGUGUUUUAUGCUGCUUUUUAAAAUUUAUAUAAGAAAUGGAAAAGAAAACACUAAAUUGCUAGACUAGUAAAGCAAUUGACUGGCUUGAAAUUUCAGGAGGCAAGGAAUAUCUGUUUUACCAUUCCAUAUUAUGACUGGAAAAAUAUAAUUCUUCUGCCCACUUUAUUGUUUCUAGAAAAAGAGUUAGUAAUAUUUAUCUUGAAAGAACAUUCUAAGAACUAAUACAAUAACUUGCCAAAUGGAUUAAAGUUUUGGAGAAGAACGGGGAUCCUGGUCAUUUUCUGGAGUCAGAUACAGUCAGUUUCCUUCUUUUGAAACUCACACAGGCAAUCAUCAGAUAUUAAGAAAGGGAUCAAGAAAUCGAGGAGGCAAAAGAACAGAAGAAGUAAAUACCUAUAGCUUGCCCAGAAGCCUAGGAAGAGAGAGAAUGCCGAAAGACUUCUAAUGUAUGGAGUUUAAACAUCAGAUGGUGAUUGAUUGCUAUUAAUUUAUGUCAGCAAAGGAGGAGAAGAAAUACGUAAAACUGCCUCUGAAGAAUUUACAUUAAACACCAAAAGAAUCUGACUCUGAAAAUGAAGAAACAAGGAAUAUUGUUUGUUUUGGGAAUCAAAAAAAAAAAAAACUUCCCAUUUGAGUACACAAUUUCCUAAACAAGAUACAUGAUAAUUCCAUACACUAUGCUUUCCGAAGAAACUUUGUAAAACGUAUUUUCAUUAUUCAAAACUUGAAAACACAGAAACAAUAUGAUGCAAAAAAUUAUCUUUAGCAUUAUUCCACUAAGAUAAUUCAUUUUAACAUCCAUAUAUUCAUUAUUAUGUAAAAUACCUAUCAGUAUGUGGGUAUAUCUUUGUGUGUAUAUUUUAACAAAACAAAAUUCAAUAAAAAUUGAAAUACAGAAAUGACAAAAACACACAAAAAAUAUAAAUUAUUUCCAUUGUAGCAUAUAUUACCUUUUUCACCUAACAUUAUACUGUAGGAAUAUAUUCUUUCAUCAUUCAAUGCUUUUGAAAAUAUAAUAAUAUUCCAUUUUAAGGACAUGCUAUAAUUUAGUUCAUUAGUUUUUAAACUUUUAGAUUAUCUCAUUUUGUCAUCAUUUAAAAAAAGUGUUCCUGGAUGUCCUUUUGCAUAGACUUUUGAAUGUAUUUCUGACUAUUUUCUUAACCUGUCCUGUACUUCUGCAAGUAGAACUGCUUGAGCAGAGAUUAGGAGCAAUUUUAAGGUUUUUCAAAAAUCUUGACAAACUAUUCUGCAGGAAAAAUGUAUCUUGUUACCAUCAGCAUUUUUAAGUAACUAGUGACUAAUUGUAAAAAUAAUUGUGUUUCCUUGUAUUUAAGCCUUGCGCUAUAGAUUUUAAAAAUUUGUCCUUUUUUUUUUUUCAUUUGUAAAAAAAAGCCAUCUAAAAGACCUUAGAACCUGGUAUCAGCUGAAGCUUACUAAACCAUAUCAAGAAGAUCAUGUCAUUCUCAAGAAAAGCAUGUUUCAAAUAAAAAGGAAAUGUCAGCCCUGAGCGUUUUUAUUAACCAUCUCCCCAUCUGACUUCAGAGACAGCUUUAGCUGACCACUUCCUCUCUCGGGUUUAUUUGUAUUAGAAAUAAGUGGAUUCAUUAACUGUGCCACUUGGUGGUCAGGCCAGGCCUGCCAGUGUCCAAUAACAGGUAAUGGUUGUAUUUUUCACGGGGUGACUGAUGUUUACUUUGUUGAUGGCCCCAGGAGCUCAUGUAAUCUGAGAUAGGUCUUUGUUUACUUCUUGUUUUACUGAUAUGCUGACCCAUUUGAAACUAGCGAGAAAGAAAAAUAAACAUUCUGGAAUAUGGUACCUGAAGUCACUCUUCCUUAGUGGCUUUAUUGUAACCUCUUCAAAGGCUUUUGUUAACCCACUCUUUUCCCAGCAAAAAACCCUGAUCUGGUCUCUUUUCCAAUUAAACCAAAAGCAAUAUCACACCAAAUAAGCAAACAGAAAAUAUUGAAAUUACCACUUAAAGAGAGUUUUAUCUGGGGUUUAAUUGUGUGUGUACUCAAGCGUUUAGUGUAGGUCAUUUGCUAAUGACAUCUAGUAAUUUUUAAAAACUGGAUAAAACUGAUACUGAGCCUGUCUACAGCAAUUUAACUAUUUUGGGGGAGUAUAAAGUUAGAUUUGUCUAUACUGACUUGUUUGCUCCAUUUUAAAAACUGUGUUGGAAUGAUUUAUUAUGGAUGAUCCAAAAUAAACGUGAAGUGAGGAAACUA